CAAUAGCGUAUAUUUAAGUUGUUGCAGUUAAAAAGCUCGUAGUCGGAUUUUGGCUGAGAACGAUCGGUCCGCCGUUAGUUGUGCACUGAUUGGUCUCAGCUUCCUGGUGAGGAGGUGUGCUUCACGGCCACUUAGUCACCGUGGUUACUUUGAAAAAAUUAGAGUGUUCAAAGCGGGCUUACGCUUGAAUAUAUUAGCAUGGAAUAACACCAUAGGACUCCUGUCCUAUUUCGUUGGUCUCGGGACGGGAGUAAUGAUUAAGAGGAACAGUUGGGGGCAUUCGUAUUUCAUUGUCAGAGGUGAAAUUCUUGGAUUUAUGAAAGACGAACUUCUGCGAAAGCAUUUGCCAAGGAUGUUUUCAUUGA
Molecule: ribosomal RNA, 365 nt
Filed under: uncultured eukaryote
Lineage: Eukaryota
Description: partial 18S ribosomal RNA
Rfam family: Eukaryotic small subunit ribosomal RNA
Source: RNAcentral